GUGAGGAAUAUUGCGCAAUGGAGGCAACUCUGACGCAGUCAUGCCGCGUGCAGGAAGAAGGCGCUACGCGUUGUAAACUGCUUUUAACCGGGAAGAAACCCCAGGACGUGUCCUGGGUUGACGGUACCGGAGGAAUAAGCACCGGCUAACUUCGUGCCAGCAGCCGCGGUAAUACGAAGGGUGCAAGCGUUAUCCGGAUUCAUUGGGUUUAAAGGGUGCGUAGGCGGAGCGUUAAGUCAGUGGUGAAAUCCUGCAGCUUAACUGUAGACUUGCCAUUGAUACUGGCGCUCUUGAGUGCGCUUGAAGUGGGCGGAAUGUGCCGUGUAGCGGUGAAAUGCUUAGAUAUGGCACAGAACACCAAUUGCGAAGGCAGCUCACUAAGGCGAUACUGACGCUGAGGCACGAAAGCGUGGGGAUCGAACAGGAUUAGAAACCCGGGUAGUCC
This 445-nucleotide ribosomal RNA is filed under the name uncultured bacterium. RNAcentral's name for it is "partial 16S ribosomal RNA". It matches the Rfam family "Bacterial small subunit ribosomal RNA", at positions 354 to 796 of the family's 1533-position model. The record is from RNAcentral.